GCUUGUCUCAAAGAUUAAGCCAUGCAUGUCUAAGUAUAAAUCUCUUACUUUGAAACUGCGAACGGCUCAUUAUAUCAGUUAUAGUUUAUUUGAUAGUCCCUUACUACUUGGAUAACCGUAGUAAUUCUAGAGCUAAUACAUGCGUCAACACCUUUGGGUGGUAUUUAUUAGAUGGAAACCAAUGCGGGGCAACCCGGUAUAUGGUGAUUCAUAAUAACUUUCGGAUCGAUCUUCGGAUCGAUGCAUCAUUCAAGUUUCUGCCCUAUCAGCUUUGGAUGGUAGGGUAUUGGCCUACCAUGGCUUUAACGGGUAACGGAGAAUUAGGGUUCGAUUCCGGAGAGGGAGCCUGAGAAAUGGCUACCACAUCCAAGGAAGGCAGCAGG
This 383-nucleotide ribosomal RNA is filed under the name uncultured Ochromonas. RNAcentral's name for it is "partial small subunit ribosomal RNA". It matches the Rfam family "Eukaryotic small subunit ribosomal RNA", at positions 30 to 432 of the family's 1831-position model. The record is from RNAcentral. Lineage: Eukaryota; Chrysophyceae; Chromulinales; Chromulinaceae.